AUGCCUCUGUCAUCGCUCUGCUGCGCUGGGGAGGCCCAGGGACAGCCAGCUCCAACCCACCAGGUCAUGCCCCUGAUGCUUCAAGGAUUUCCUGCUUUCCGAGAAAAACCUUGGGCUCGCAUAUCCCAUACUGUACAUUUGACGCAGGUUCCUGCCAAGAGCUGUGGCGACCUGGAACCUGUCCUAGAAUCAUGGGAGACUUCCCCGGGUGCCGGUCCAUCAGACGGUGCAUGCACACGCACGCACACACGGAGUAACACGCAAACUCCACACAGAAGGCACCCUUGUCCGGAAUCAAACCCAGGAACCGAGAGCUGUGAGGCAUCUGGGCUUAUUACCGUGCUGCCUGUGUUCAUCCAUGCUUUUAAUAAUUCCACAAGAACCCACCGUUGAAUAUAAAGACCCUCAGACCUAUAUCAAAUGUCCUGCAGCACCUCAGCUGCCCACCCGCUGUGUCUCCCCCUGCACUACUCAUGUUUCCCCACUGUCACUCCCCCACACCACGCUUCAGGAGAAAGACCACCCUUCUUAACUGGCUUUCAUCUCCCUAAUUAGAGUAUACCCCAGAGGUGCUGGGAGAUCAGUCCGGGAGACAGAGGGAUUUGUUCCAUUUUUGUGCUGAGUCCACUAGACAGGAGCCGUCAUAGGCUCCACGAGGUGAGCACUCGAAAUCCAUCCGUGCAUUUCUCAACUGCUUUUUCCAAGUCAGGGUGGUGGGGGAGCUGGGACUUAUCCCGGCAUGAACGGUCUCAAGGCAGAGCACACCCUGGAUGGGAUGCCAGUUCAUGUCCGUCUCAGGACACACAGACACACACUCACAUCCAGUGCCGGUUUCCCUGGAAGCCCAUUAUCCUCCCAGCAUAUCUUUGGACUGUGGGAGGAAACUGGAGCACCAGGAGGAAACCCAGGGGAGAACAUACAAACUCCACACAGACAGCACCUCGGGUCCAGAAUUGAACCCAGGGCCUCAGUGCUACAAGGCAGCAAUGCUGAUCACUGUGCCACUGUUCCAUUCCCCCUCAAAUCCUAAAACAUUUUAUUAACCUAUUUCGUUUAUAGAGCAUAUGCAUUCUUUUGAAAAUUGUGGCGCACAGCCACUCAGAGAAAAAAAAUAUUCAAAAGAAUAAAACCCCAUUUUAACAAAGUCAAUUUUAACAUAAGAUUGUUUUGUCAUUUUAAAGUUGUGGGUGCGGUCUGAUCUGGGCUUCAGUUUUUCAGGGAGACAUUCGGGAAUCCCAGUGGGAGACUCAGACACACUGCCCCGAGCCUGGGGGAUUGGGGGGUAGCCAUCAGGCCCUGAGAGGACCAGGGGAGACACAGAGGGUCAGCCCAGGGUGAGAAACUGAACUUCUGACACGCUGUGUGCGUCUGCAGAAUUACCCCUCUGUAAACACACCCUCCGUGUUAAAAGGGUUAAGAAACUAGAAACUGGAACGACCUCUUGCUGUGAACAAUGCAGAUGUAUUUGAUGAGCUUAGAAUGAUCAGGAACUAUUUUAUUACAAAUAACAUGGUUAAUAGAGAAGGUAAACUUUGCUACUUGGUUCAUGCCAUUCUGUAUUCAGCAGGACUGUUUCCAAAGCAGUACCUAUCAAUAAGGUAUAGUUCUAAUGACAUUGAUGGAUAAAAACUGUUUUGUUGAAUGUUAUUUAAUUGCUAUAUAUUUUGUAGAUGGUACAAAUAAUGAUCACUGGGACCUGACUUGAAACUAUAUAAUUAUGCUGAUACUUGUUAUGAUUCAUGUCAUUUAUAUAGCGCCUUUCAUCCUAAAGGAUCCUCAAGGUCCUUUACAAAUAGGAGUGCACCCGUGCAGUCCUGAAUUGCAGCUCUCAAAUGGGUGAUAAAAGACACCUCACAAACAAGAGUGCCUUUUGGCUAAUCUUCCUCAGUUAGUAGUAGUUAGUAGCUAAUUGAUCCAAGCUAACAUCCAGCUGUUUCUUGAAAGAACCAGGGUAUCGGCUUUCACAACAUGGCUGGGUAGAUUGCUCCAGACUCCCACAACCCUUUGCGUAAAGAAGCACCUCCUGUUCUUAAAGACACUUCCACUUAUUUAGCUUCCAUGUGAAAUGUGGGACAGCCAUUCUGUGCUAACAGCCUAACUAUAUGGCUGAUCAGGAAUAGGAGGGAGAGAUUGCUCCACCAGUCGAAUCAGGGCGAGCCCUUAGUGAGGCCAGACUGUACAAGCCCGGAGUGGACGACAGCCAGGACACCGAGGUAAACAGCACUACUCUGACAAACGGCGCAAUCGGAUUUUAAAUAACCAAGUAAUCAGGGUCCCGCUUCCUGCAGCCUUGUCUCCUGUCCUGAAUACUGUACAUAUUGUAACGCAUACGGCCACCAUUGAUUGUGAGAGCCGGCUUACCAGCGCGGUGACGUCAGGGUAAGAGUGUGAGCCCGCGCCGCGCUACUGACAGACAAGACGCGGCUGACGCCUAAUUGCCAUCCCAGCCACGUGCUGUGGGAGUGGGGCAGAGUUCACAAAACAGAGGAUGUCCACACAAAAACAAGGAGGCCUUAUGGAAAGACCCCUGCAUUCCCCACCCGGCACGACAAAAAAAACAACAGAAAAGUGGUUCGCCGACAACUGGGGGCCAAUCCGCACCCUUAGUGAAGACACGCCGUCAAUUUGCGUCUGCCUUUAUAUUGUAUCGUCCGCGGAUGAAGAAAACGGCUAAAAGUUGACCGAGUCCCCUCUGACUCGGAUGUGAAGAAAAAACACUUUGAUCGUCGAUUGUCAGAGAAGGCUGUCCUUAACUUACGAUAUCAUUUUUGUGUGUGUGAUUUUACAUAGAAUGCAGAACAUUGAAUGGUGACAUUAGUAUUACUUGUUAUUUUUUAAUAUCAAAUUAAAGAGCUU
This is a long non-coding RNA of Lepisosteus oculatus (spotted gar), 2856 nucleotides long. Lineage: Eukaryota; Metazoa; Chordata; Actinopteri; Semionotiformes; Lepisosteidae. The record is from Ensembl.